UACGUAUGGGGCUAGCGUUAUCCGGAUUUAUUGGGCGUAAAGAGCGCGUAGGCGGCUAUGUAAGUCGGGAGUGAAAGCCCUCGGCUCAACCGAGGAAGUGCUUUCGAAACUGCAUGGCUCGAGUAUCGGAGAGGAUGGCGGAAUUCCCGGUGUAGAGGUGAAAUUCGUAGACAUCGGGAGGAACACCAGUGGCGAAGGCGGCCAUCUGGACGAAUACUGACGCUGAAGUUCGAAAGCGUGGGGAGCAAAC
Molecule: ribosomal RNA, 250 nt
Filed under: uncultured bacterium
Lineage: Bacteria
Description: partial 16S ribosomal RNA
Rfam family: Bacterial small subunit ribosomal RNA
Source: RNAcentral